Molecule: ribosomal RNA, 334 nt
Filed under: uncultured eukaryote
Lineage: Eukaryota
Description: partial 18S ribosomal RNA
Rfam family: Eukaryotic small subunit ribosomal RNA
Source: RNAcentral
CCCUUAGAUGUCCGGGGCCGCACGCGCGCUACACUGAAGGAAUCAGCGUGGCUUUCUCCCUGACCCGAAAGGGUUGGGAAACCCGUUGAAUCUCCUUCGUGAUAGGGAUUGGGGCUUGAAAUUGUUCCCCAUGAACGAGGAAUUCCCAGUAAGCGCGAGUCAUAAGCUCGCGUUGAUUACGUCCCUGCCCUUUGUACACACCGCCCGUCGCUACUACCGAUUGAACGGUUUAGUGAGGGCCUCGGAUUAGUCUCGGCCCGCUCUUUACCGGGCGGCGCCGUUGGUCGAGAAGACGCUCGAACUUGAUCGUUUAGAGGAAGUAAAAGUCGUAACA